AUUGAACGCUGGCGGCAUGCCUUACACAUGCAAGUCGAACGGCAGCACGGGAGCAAUCCUGGUGGCGAGUGCGACGGUGAGUAAUAUAUCGGAACGUGCCCAGUCGUGGGGAGUAACGUAGCGAAAGCUACGCUAAUACCGCAUACGAUCUAUGGAUGAAAGACGGGGGAGUCGCAAGACCUCGCGCGAUUGGAGCGGCCGAUAUCAGAUUAGGUAGUUGGUGAGGUAAAGGCGUCACCAAGCCGACGAUCUGUAGCUGGUCUGAGAGGACGACCAGCCACACUGGGACUGAGACACGGCCCAGACUCCUACGGGAGGCAGCAGUGGGGGAAUUUUUGGACAAUGGGC
Molecule: ribosomal RNA, 348 nt
Filed under: uncultured bacterium
Lineage: Bacteria
Description: bacterial SSU rRNA
Rfam family: Bacterial small subunit ribosomal RNA
Source: RNAcentral